This 513-nucleotide ribosomal RNA is filed under the name uncultured bacterium. Its description in RNAcentral is "partial 16S ribosomal RNA". It matches the Rfam family "Bacterial small subunit ribosomal RNA", at positions 28 to 523 of the family's 1533-position model. The record is from RNAcentral.
GACGAACGCUGGCGGCGUGCCUAAUACAUGCAAGUUGAGCGCUGAAGGUUGGUACUUGUACCGACUGGAUGAGCAGCGAACGGGUGAGUAACGCGUGGGGAAUCUGCCUGUGAGCGGGGGACAACAUUUGGAAACGAAUGCUAAUACCGCAUAACAACUUUAAACACAAGUUUUAAGUUUGAAAGAUGCAAUUGCAUCACUCAAAGAUGAUCCCGCGUUGUAUUAGCUAGUUGGUGAGGUAAAGGCUCACCAAGGCGAUGAUACAUAGCCGACCUGAGAGGGUGAUCGGCCACAUUGGGACUGAGACACGGCCCAAACUCCUACGGGAGGCAGCAGUAGGGAAUCUUCGGCAAUGGACGCAAGUCUGACCGAGCAACGCCGCGUGAGUGAAGAAGGUUUUCGGAUCGUAAAACUCUGUUGGUAGAGAAGAACGUUGGUGAGAGUGGAAAGCUCAUCAAGUGACGGUAACUACCCAGAAAGGGACGGCUAACUACGUGCCAGCCGCCGCCGUAA